AUGAAAUUCGUGCUUUUGAUUUGACAAAUAUGUGGAUUGCUGAGAAGCUCAUAGUUGUAAAUAGUGGUAAUACGCGAGAGGCUGAAAGUAAGGCGGAGGAUUUCCUAAAUGAUUUGGUUUCUAGAAACUUGAUUCAACUUGCCAAAAGGACAUAUAAUGGAAGAAUUUCAAGUUGUCGCAUACAUGACUUGUCACAUAGUUUGUGUGUGGACUUGGCUAAGGAAAGUAACUUCUUUCACACCGCGCAUGAUGUAUUUGGUGAUCCCG
This 267-nucleotide unclassified non-coding RNA is filed under the name Hevea brasiliensis (rubber tree). The record is from RNAcentral. Lineage: Eukaryota; Viridiplantae; Streptophyta; Magnoliopsida; Malpighiales; Euphorbiaceae.